UGCAGUCGAGCGGAACGAUCCUAGCUUGCUAGGAGGCGUCGAGCGGCGGACGGGUGAGUAAUGCAUAGGAAUCUGCCCGGUAGUGGGGGAUAACUUGAGGAAACUCAAGCUAAUACCGCAUACGCCCUACGGGGGAAAGCAGGGGCUCUUCGGACCUUGCGCUAUCGGAUGAGCUUAUGUCGGAUUAGCUGGUUGGUGAGGUAACGGCUCACCAAGGCGACGAUCCGUAGCUGGUCUGAGAGGAUGAUCAGCCACAUCGGGACUGAGACACGGCCCGAACUCCUACGGGAGGCAGCAGUGGGGAAUAUUGGACAAUGGGGGCAACCCUGAUCCAGCCAUGCCGCGUGUGUGAAGAAGGCCCUCGGGUUGUAAAGCACUUUCAGCGAGGAAGAAUGCUUGUCGGUUAAUACCCGGCAAGGGAGACAUCACUCGCAGAAGAAGCACCGGCUAACUCCGUGCCAGCAGCCGCGGUAAUACGGAGGGUGCGAGCGUUAAUCGGAAUUACUGGGCGUAAAGCGUGCGUAGGCGGCUUGAUAAGCCGGUUGUGAAAGCCCCGGGCUCAACCUGGGAACGGCAUCCGGAACUGUUAGGCUAGAGUGCAGGAGAGGAAGGUAGAAUUCCCGGUGUAGCGGUGAAAUGCGUAGAGAUCGGGAGGAAUACCAGUGGCGAAGGCGGCCUUCUGGACUGACACUGACGCUGAGGUACGAAAGCGUGGGUAGCAAACAGGAUUAGAUACCCUGGUAGUCCACGCCGUAAACGAUGUCGACUAGCCGUUGGGGUCCUCGAGACCUUUGUGGCGCAGUUAACGCACUAAGUCGACCGCCUGGGGAGUACGGCCGCAAGGUUAAAACUCAAUGAAUUGACGGGGGCCCGCACAAGCGGUGGAGCAUGUGGUUUAAUUCGAUGCACGCGAGAACCUUACCUAC
This 926-nucleotide ribosomal RNA is filed under the name Halomonas elongata. Its description in RNAcentral is "bacterial SSU rRNA". It matches the Rfam family "Bacterial small subunit ribosomal RNA", at positions 56 to 978 of the family's 1533-position model. Lineage: Bacteria; Pseudomonadati; Pseudomonadota; Gammaproteobacteria; Oceanospirillales; Halomonadaceae. The record is from RNAcentral.